This 960-nucleotide non-coding RNA is filed under the name Trichomonas vaginalis G3. Its description in RNAcentral is "Eukaryotic small subunit ribosomal RNA". It matches the Rfam family "Eukaryotic small subunit ribosomal RNA", at positions 209 to 1311 of the family's 1831-position model. Lineage: Eukaryota; Parabasalia; Trichomonadida; Trichomonadidae. The record is from Rfam by way of RNAcentral.
UCUGGUGCUAAUACAUGCGAUUGUUUCUCCAGAUGUGAAUUAUGGAGAAAAAGUUGACCUCAUCAGAGGCACGCCAUUCGACUGAGUGACCUAUCAGCUUGUACUUAGGGUCUUUACCUAGGUAGGCUAUCACGGGUAACGGGCGGUUACCGUCGGACUGCCGGAGAAGGCGCCUGAGAGAUAGCGACUAUAUCCACGGGUAGCAGCAGGCGCGAAACUUUCCCACUCGAGACUUUCGGAGGAGGUAAUGACCAGUUCCAUUGGUGCCUUUUGGUACUGUGGAUAGGGGUACGGUUUUCCACCGUACCGAAACCUAGCAGAGGGCCAGUCUGGUGCCAGCAGCUGCGGUAAUUCCAGCUCUGCGAGUUUGCUCCCAUAUUGUUGCAGUUAAAACGCCCGUAGUCUGAAUUGGCCAGCAAUGGUCGUACGUAUUUUUACGUUCACUGUGAACAAAUCAGGACGCUUAGAGUAUGGCCACAUGAAUGACUCAGCGCAGUAUGAAGUCUUUGUUUUCUUCCGAAAACAAGCUCAAUGAGAGCCAUCGGGGGUAGAUCUAUCUCAUGACGAGUGGUGGAAUACUUUGACUCAUGAGAGAGAAGCUGAGGCGAAGGCGUCUACCUAGAGGGUUUCUGUCGAUCAAGGGCGAGAGUAGGAGUAUCCAACAGGAUUAGAGACCCUGGUAGUUCCUACCUUAAACGAUGCCGACAGGAGUUUGUCAUUUGUUAAUGGCAGAAUCUUUGGAGAAAUCAUAGUUCUUGGGCUCUGGGGGAACUACGACCGCAAGGCUGAAACUUGAAGGAAUUGACGGAAGGGCACACCAGGGGUGGAGCCUGUGGCUUAAUUUGAAUCAACACGGGGAAACUUACCAGGACCAGAUGUUUUUUAUGACUGACAGGCUUCGGGUCUUUCCAGGAUAUUGUUUUUGGUGGUGCAUGGCCGUUGGUGGUGCGUGGGUUGACC